UGGGGAAUAUUGCACAAUGGGGGAAACCCUGAUGCAGCGACGCCGCGUGAGCGAAGAAGGCUUUCGAGUCGUAAAGCUCUGUCCUAUGAGAAGAUAAUGACGGUAUCAUAGGAGGAAGCCCUGGCUAAAUACGUGCCAGCAGCCGCGGUAAUACGUAUGGGGCGAGCGUUGUCCGGAAUUAUUGGGCGUAAAGGGUACGUAGGUGGUUUUUUAAGUCAGGUGUCAAAGCGUGGAGCUUAACUCCAUUAGGCACUUGAAACUGAAAGACUUGAGUGAAGGAGAGGAAAGUGGAAUUCCUAGUGUGGCGGUGAAAUGCGUAGAUAUUAGGAGGAAUACCGGUGGCGAAGGCGACUUUCUGGACUUUUACUGACGCUCAGGUACGAAAGCGUGGGGAGCAAACAGG
Molecule: ribosomal RNA, 403 nt
Filed under: Verrucomicrobiota bacterium
Lineage: Bacteria; Pseudomonadati; Verrucomicrobiota
Description: Verrucomicrobia bacterium partial 16S ribosomal RNA
Rfam family: Bacterial small subunit ribosomal RNA
Source: RNAcentral